ACCAUGAGAGCCUCCCUCUCCUUCUUCUCCCCAACCCUAGAUGGUUUUCUCUCCUCUUCCUCUUCCUCCAUUGCUAAGAUUGGAUCUUGAUGCAGGUGCAUGUUGGUCCAAGCAUGGAGAAGCUUGAGCUAUCCUCAGAUCUGAAGUUCUUGAGCAAAGUUCGUCCAAAUCCUUGCAGUAAUUUCUGCUAUCUUGCUGUUUCAGAUUCUGGUACGAACUUGUAAAAUCCACCAAAUCUCGUGCGCAGAUCCAAAUCAAGUGAUUCAAAGUUCCGCAGAUAGAUACAGAAAAGAUCUACAACUUGGCGUUGGUCUCAUCCUCAAAUUCGUUACGGAUUGUCCGUGGUCAAGAUCUGGUCAGAUCUGACUUUGUCGAAUUAAACCAGGAGCUUGGGAAUGAAUUUUUGAAUGAAACCAAUUGGGGGAUGUUUGGUUUAUACCAUGGUGAUAACCGAGAGAGGCAAUUGCUAAGUUGUGAUACUCUCAUACCUUUACUAGACGCGAGCAAUUCCGGAGAAGAAGAAGAAGUGGAAUUGGACAAGGAUUUUAUUUAUAUUGUUGGGAUUCUUAUAUUGAUAGAGUUGAAGAAGUACAGGGACAAAUAAGCCAAGGCAAGCCAUUUACUUUGAUCCAUCGUUCUCUAUGUUCUUGAUUGAGAUCUUGCCAUCCUUUGGUCUCUUGGCUCCUUGUGUUCCUUGGGUUUUCGAUUACUUUGUUUCUUUACAUACUUGCCACCAAGUAUGUAAGGUUCUCCUUGUUACUUUGCAUACCUACUCUAAGUAUGCGAAUUACGUUCAUCGCCUUUUGACACCUCUAAUUCUAGUAAAGAUAUGGGUUAACCUCAUUAAAAUUGCUCCACUUUUGAUUAUCUCCAUUUAUGCUCAAUGUGAGUAUGGAUGUCUUUGUCACCCUUCAUGGUAUAAUGGCAACUUUUGGGCUAUUAUACUUCUUAGUUCACACAUAAACUUUAGGUUGGGAAAACCCUCAAGGUUUUACCUUGUUGUAAAAGUUUUUGAUAAAACCUUGGGCAUGAUGUUUUCCCCAAGUGAGGAUUUAUGAAAGGAAAGGAUUUGGUAAAAAUGAUGAGGAUGUGAAAAAGGUUGGGUUUUAUGAAAACUUUGGCGCCUAAGUACUCACCCAUGACAAUUAACUAGCGCAACCACAAUAUCCAAAGUGGGCACGGGCUUAGUCCGUAGUUUGUUGAAUUUGACAUGAGAUACCUUCACCACUCUCUAGGAGGGUCACGAUGACCUCUGACACCGGGUUGCGCUCUGAAGGAGGCAAUA
Lolium perenne is the source of this 1285-nucleotide long non-coding RNA. RefSeq lists it as uncharacterized. NCBI's taxonomy places the organism in Eukaryota, Viridiplantae, Streptophyta, Magnoliopsida, Poales, Poaceae. The record is from RefSeq and is a predicted model, not a curated record.